Molecule: small nuclear RNA, 291 nt
Filed under: Jaculus jaculus (lesser Egyptian jerboa)
Lineage: Eukaryota; Metazoa; Chordata; Mammalia; Rodentia; Dipodidae
Description: 7SK RNA (ENSJJAG00000001212.1)
Rfam family: 7SK RNA
About the family: 7SK was discovered as an abundant small nuclear RNA in the mid-70s but a possible function has only recently been suggested. Two independent studies have found that 7SK RNA binds the CDK9/cyclin T complex (known as elongation factor P-TEFb).
Source: Rfam by way of RNAcentral
GGGUGUGAGGGCGAUCUGGCUGCAACAUAUGUCACCCCAUUGAUCACCAGGGCUGAUUCUGGCUGGCGAGGCGGGUGUCCCCUUCCUCCCUCACCACUCCAUGUGCGUCCCUCCCAGUGCUGUGCGCUCGGUCCAAGAGGACGACCUUCCCCGAAUAGAGGAGGACCGGUCUCCAGUCCAGGGUGCAGGAGUAGCUGCGCUCCCCUGCUAGAACCUCCAAACAAGCUCUUAAGAGAUACAAUUUAAUUUGUAAAGCAAGCUCUACAAUCUGAAGCAAAACAAACCAAAUUU